Molecule: non-coding RNA, 72 nt
Organism: Phrynosoma platyrhinos (Desert horned lizard)
Lineage: Eukaryota; Metazoa; Chordata; Lepidosauria; Squamata; Phrynosomatidae
Source: the annotation of a GenBank genome assembly
UGCAGUGUGGCAUAGUGGCUUGAAUGUUGGACUACAACUCUGGAGACCAGGGUUCAAUUCCCCGCUCGGCCA